CAACCCUCAGGUCCCCCUUCCGGGGGCGGACCUGGUGCUGGGGCUCGGCCGUCCUCGUGGCGGCCGUCCCUUAAAUCCAGUGGCGGUCACGCCGUGAUCCCUUGCGUAGUACUACACCUCGCACCGGAGAGCGACGCGGCCCGCCGUAAAACACCCAAUUUUUCAAU
RNAcentral lists this unclassified non-coding RNA (167 nucleotides) under uncultured Acremonium. RNAcentral's name for it is "partial internal transcribed spacer 2". Lineage: Eukaryota; Fungi; Ascomycota. The record is from RNAcentral.